GCGCCUACGGGGGGCAGCAGUGGGGAAUAUUGCACAAUGGGGGAAACCCUGAUGCAGCAACGCCGCGUGAGUGAAGAAGGUUUUCGGAUUGUAAAGCUCUGUUAGCAGGGAAGAGGAAGGACGGUACCUGCAGAGGAAGCCCCGGCUAACUACGUGCCAGCAGCCGCGGUAAUACGUAGGGGGCAAGCGUUAUCCGGAUUUACUGGGUGUAAAGGGAGCGUAGACGGUAUGGCAAGUCUGAUGUGAAAACCCGGGACUCAACCCCGGGACUGCAUUGGAAACUGUCGGACUAGAGUGUCGGAGAG
RNAcentral lists this ribosomal RNA (305 nucleotides) under uncultured bacterium. RNAcentral describes it as "bacterial SSU rRNA". It matches the Rfam family "Bacterial small subunit ribosomal RNA", at positions 335 to 656 of the family's 1533-position model. The record is from RNAcentral.